Molecule: ribosomal RNA, 253 nt
Filed under: uncultured bacterium
Lineage: Bacteria
Description: partial 16S ribosomal RNA
Rfam family: Bacterial small subunit ribosomal RNA
Source: RNAcentral
GACGUAGGAUGCGAGCGUUAUUCGGAUUUAUUGGGCGUAAAGCGUGCGUAGGCGGCUGUUUAAGUCUGGUGUUAAAGCUAGGGGCUCAACCCCUGUGGUGCAUCGGAUACUGGGCAGCUUGAGUGCGGUAGGGGAAGGUGGAAUUCCGAGUGUAGCGGUGAAAUGCGUAGAUAUCCGGAAGAACACCGGUGGCGAAGGCGGUGAGCUGGGCAGUAGCUGACACUGAGGCGCGACAGCGUGGGGAGCAAACAGG